GCCACCGCCUCAGGGAAGAGGAAGGAGGCCGCGGCUUCGCGUCCCGCCUCUCGCCUGGCUGGCCGUGGGGGGCCUGGACGCAGUGGCCUCCCGAAUCUCCCAGGACCCUAAUAUCGCCCGAGGAUGCUGGGAGGAACGCUGAGCCGACCUCUCCGUUAGGCUGAAGAUUGCACAAACCAUGCUAAUGGCCAGCAUGGAUGGAGGGAGCGUGUGAGAUGUGUGGGGCAGCGUGCUGCAUCUCAGCCAACUCCAGGAGCCAGUUGAUGUGAUGGACUACCUUAAUUGAUUUUUGAAUGUUGAGCCAGCCUUAUGCAUGUGGGAUAAACCCCUGUUGAUCAUGGCUGGCUGGAGUGCAGUGGUGCAAUCAUGGCUCACUGCAACCUCAAAUUCCUGGGCUCAAGGGAUCCUCCUGCCUCAGCCUCCCAAGUAGCUAGGACUACAGAUGGAACGAAGUCUGUUUGUGGAAACACCCUUCCCCUCUGUUUACUUGGACCUGAUUUUGAAAGUAACAAGUCACUUUAUUUGGGCUGGAGGAAAAAGCACUAAACCAGAUGUUGAGGUGACCGGGAUUCCUGGAAGACAUUCUUCUCUCCAACGAGACACAUGAUGCAUGAAGUAGGAGCCCCUGGCAAGGAGCCCAGGCUGCCAUGGCCUCGCUCGCUCCUGCUUCCCGGCAUGGCCCCGAGGCUAGCUGCCUCUGUACUGCCUGAGCAUCGUCCCCUGGCGUGUCACCAGACUACCCACUACCUGUGCUUGCACCUGCAGGUGGGCAGUUCAGUCGUUGCAGGCUGAAGCUCCCUGUCACAGGAGUCCAUCAGCACUGGAGUUUACCAAAUGGCCCAGUCCAGGAAGCAUGCUCAUGGCAAUACCCGGAGUCUCCACUGCAAGACCAGAGUGACGGAGGCAGCAGAGCUCCUCAGCAGGCCAGGAGUCUCCAGAGGCACUGCCGAAUGUCUAAGAAGCAACCUCAUUGUAUUCCCAAGACCUGGGAAUCCAGGUCUCGCAGAUACGAUGAUACAAUCUAUAGCCAGGACAUCUCUUCAUGUGUAGUUUUCAAUGAAUACUAGGAUAAGCAACUAUCCCAGUCUUCCCAGGAUUGAGGGGCUUCUCCAGAUGCUGCACUUCUGGUGCUAAAAAUGAGAAACUGAAAUGAAUUAGUCACCCAAGGAAUGCUGACCCUGUGCUAUAUGAUCACAUUUACUCUUUAAAGCAAUGCUUUGAGAACAAUUGAGCUGCAUAGUCCCUGCAAUCUUAUAAAGGCAUUUGGCCUGGAAGAUGCUCUGCAGCCAUGUGCCAAGAAUAACGGCUAUAGGGACAAUGUUUCAUUAACCCCAAAGCAGCAACCUGAACCUCUUACUGUACAAUAUCUGCUCCGUUCAGAAUUAGCUCGACUUGAGUCACAGGAUGAAGCUUACCAAAAGGAAUUUCCACGUCCAAGGAAGGAACCAAGAUCACUGAGAGGUUAUAGUAUGAAAAGUGAAGAGAAAAAACCUAUUCUAAACAUUUUAUUAAUUGUCAAUAAUUAUUUUAAAAUAUUUAAUAUAGUCUCCUACCUGGUCCACUGGCAUCAAGCUGCCAAAUUUACACGGUCACUUUGGGAAGCCAGCUGGCAGGCAAACAUGGAAAGUGCUGGCUCCUAGCGUAGUGAGAAGACCACAGAUAGAUGGUAAUUUUCUUCUUUGUUUUAUUUUUCUUUUUCUUCUCUCCCUCUUUUUCUUCCCUCUUGCCUUUCCCUCCCAUUGCCCACUUUCUUUUUUUGGCUGCCGAAGAUUUAUUGCCUUUCAGUACUUAUAGAUGAUGUUUUCAUAAGUUCUAAUGAGGUCCCAGCAGUUUUUAACAAUAACAGGACAUUACUGUUCCUAAGAUAUAUUAUGUGUUUUCCCUCAUCUUUCUCCCUUGAAUGAAAUGCUUAGAAGUAGGCUAACCCCCAAUUCCCUUCCCUUUACUAUGAUAAAUGGCUCCAUUACUUAAUAG
Molecule: long non-coding RNA, 1974 nt
Organism: Homo sapiens (human)
Lineage: Eukaryota; Metazoa; Chordata; Mammalia; Primates; Hominidae
Gene: GMDS-DT
Product: GMDS divergent transcript
Source: Ensembl